This 303-nucleotide unclassified non-coding RNA is filed under the name Chytridiomycota sp. RNAcentral describes it as "partial contains small subunit ribosomal RNA, internal transcribed spacer 1, and 5.8S ribosomal RNA". The stretch from base 1 to 47 matches the Rfam family "Eukaryotic small subunit ribosomal RNA", at positions 1785 to 1831 of the family's 1831-position model. Lineage: Eukaryota; Fungi; Chytridiomycota. The record is from RNAcentral.
AAAGUCGUAACAAGGUAACCGUAGGUGAACCUGCGGUUGGAUCAUUACAAAAUUGGUAUCUUACCAAACAUUGUGUGCACCAUAACUGUUCUUGGCAGUGUAUUGUUUGAGUCAGAUGGCUGGAUCCUUGAGGAUCGAUUCCUCCUUUCGGGGGGGUUUCCGAGUCCAAGGUUGAAGGCCACACCUGGCCCAAGGCAAUCUCUGCCGCCUAUCUAAACAUUGUAUUUAAAACAUUUAGUCUGAAUCAGUUCACCAACAAAGUGAAAUGAAAAACAACUUUUGACAACGGAUCUCUUGGCUCUC